Molecule: ribosomal RNA, 331 nt
Filed under: uncultured bacterium
Lineage: Bacteria
Description: bacterial SSU rRNA
Rfam family: Bacterial small subunit ribosomal RNA
Source: RNAcentral
GAUGAACGCUAGCGGCAGGCUUAACACAUGCAAGUCGAGGGGUAUUGGUUUUCGGACCAAGAGACCGGCGCACGGGUGCGUAACGCGUAUGCAAUCUACCUUUUGCAGAGGGAUAGCCCCAGAGAAAUUUGGAUUAAUACCUCAUAGUAUAGUACUUUGGCAUCAAGGAACUAUUAAAGUCACAACGGCAAAGAUGAGCAUGCGUCCCACUUAGCUAGUUGGUAAGGUAACGGCUUACCAAGGCUACGAUGGGUAGGGGUCCGUGAGAGGGAGAUCCCCACACUGGUACUGAGACACGGACCAGACUCCUACGGAGGCAGCAGUGAGGAAU